Molecule: long non-coding RNA, 564 nt
Organism: Choloepus didactylus (southern two-toed sloth)
Lineage: Eukaryota; Metazoa; Chordata; Mammalia; Pilosa; Megalonychidae
Exons: 3
Source: RefSeq, a predicted model, not a curated record
GAAUUUACAAGCUUACAGUCUGAAGUCAGGAAAAUGUCCAAAUCAAUCCAUCAUCAAGACCAUGCUUUCUUCCUGAAGACUGGCUGCUGGCGAUCCUUAACUCCUUGGCCAUAAGCAAGCUCCUGGUCAAGAAAGAAGGGGGAGAUGAAGACAGCAUGAAGGCAGAGGAAAGAGCAGUUACCGUCUCGCCAUAACUUCAAAUGUAACAAGAUGAACAGAUUUCAAUGUACUAAGAGAAUUUGCAAUUUGAGGAUAUUGGGGCCAAGGAACAAAUCCAAAAUCUUUUCCUGGAACCAAGUCUUCGUUCUCAUUCCAGUUUCCAAGUCUUGGAUCUUCCUCUCAGCUGAAGGAAUAAGCCAAACUCUUUUUAUAUACCACCCACAUUCUUGGUGUCAGAACAGAGAAGCGUUUCCUGAGGAGUUCGUCGAAGUUACCCAUUCGUUUCCUGAAUUUAUAGAACACUUUCGUCAAAGAUCCCAGUUCAUUUCCUGAGGAGUUUGUUGAAGUUGCCAGUUUGUUUCCUGAGGAGUUCAUCGGACAUCUUCAUUGGAGUUGCCAGUUUGC